This is a long non-coding RNA of Neopsephotus bourkii (Bourke's parrot), 427 nucleotides long. RefSeq lists it as uncharacterized. NCBI's taxonomy places the organism in Eukaryota, Metazoa, Chordata, Aves, Psittaciformes, Psittacidae. The transcript is spliced from 2 exons. The record is from RefSeq and is a predicted model, not a curated record.
GGUGUUGGGUUUUGUUGGUUUGUGCCUUUUUUUUUUAAGCAGAGGGUAGUAUUUGUUUCUUGCAGAGUUCACACACAGGGAUAUUCUGAUACUUUCAUUUUCACAGCUCAGCUGAUACCAGGCAUCUUGACAUACAUACAUAGCUAGCAAAAAACAAACCUGUUAUUACACAAAGGAUUACUAGCAUCUGAAAAAUUGUAAGAGAAAAUACAAAAUUUAAUGCUACCAAACUGAAUAUAAAUAUCUACCAACAGCACUUAAUAUAUACAUCAGCUGAGAUGUCCAAUGAGACUGUAAAGAAUAAGAAUUGUGUUGAAUUAGGGAUUGUGUUCAAUAUGAUUUGUGUUGAAAAUAACAGUAGAAUCAUAGAAUAUUAUCCCUGUGUGAGUCUAUAGACUCCUAAAAGCAGGUGGAAUCCUAACUUGAA